Molecule: transfer RNA, 72 nt
Filed under: Camelus bactrianus (Bactrian camel)
Lineage: Eukaryota; Metazoa; Chordata; Mammalia; Artiodactyla; Camelidae
Also listed under: 2 other names
Rfam family: tRNA
About the family: Transfer RNA (tRNA) molecules are approximately 80 nucleotides in length.
Source: Rfam by way of RNAcentral
GAGGGUACAGCUCAGUGGUAGAACACAUGCUUAGCAUGCAGGAGGUCCUGGGUUCAAUCCCCAAUAUCUCCU